UACUAGCCCCGAUAGUAGUGAAAAUCCCAUGCUUUUUAGCGUGGAUUGUAACGAAUAGCGGGAAUAGCU
This 69-nucleotide small RNA is filed under the name Flavobacterium gillisiae. Its description in RNAcentral is "Flavo-1 RNA". It matches the Rfam family "Flavo-1 RNA". Lineage: Bacteria; Pseudomonadati; Bacteroidota; Flavobacteriia; Flavobacteriales; Flavobacteriaceae. The record is from RNAcentral.